AGUGAACGCUGGCGGUAGGCCUAACACAUGCAAGUCGAACGGCAGCACAGUAAGAGCUUGCUCUUACGGGUGGCGAGUGGCGGACGGGUGAGGAAUACAUCGGAAUCUAAUUUUUCGUGGGGGAUAACGUAGGGAAACUUACGCUAAUACCGCAUACGACCUACGGGUGAAAGCAGGGGAUCUUCGGACCUUGCGCGAUUGAAUGAGCCGAUGUCGGAUUAGCUAGUUGGCGGGGUAAAGGCCCACCAAGGCGACGAUCCGUAGCUGGUCUGAGAGGAUGAUCAGCCACACUGGAACUGAGACACGGUCCAGACUCCUACGGGAGGCAGCAGUGGGGAAUAUUGGACAAUGGGCGCAAGCCUGAUCCAGCCAUACCGCGUGGGUGAAGAAGGCCUUCGGGUUGUAAAGCCCUUUUGUUGGGAAAGAAAAGCAGCAGGUUAAUACCCCGCUGUUCUGACGGUACCCAAAGAAUAAGCACCGGCUAACUUCGUG
This 492-nucleotide ribosomal RNA is filed under the name uncultured bacterium. Its description in RNAcentral is "partial 16S ribosomal RNA". It matches the Rfam family "Bacterial small subunit ribosomal RNA", at positions 29 to 507 of the family's 1533-position model. The record is from RNAcentral.